Molecule: long non-coding RNA, 749 nt
Filed under: Gossypium barbadense (sea-island cotton)
Lineage: Eukaryota; Viridiplantae; Streptophyta; Magnoliopsida; Malvales; Malvaceae
Description: long non-coding RNA (GBAR_LNC021794)
Source: RNAcentral
AAAACCCAUCAUUUGACGUUUCAUGGACGUAUAAUAUAACUAAAAAUCAACUAGAUUUCCAUAUUUCUUUCUCCACUUAAACGUCAUCAUCGUCGUCAUAUCAGUAAUGAUUCAGCAAAAGAAUCCAACUGUACUUGAUCUUCAUUCGUCUUCAACAGCUGCAGGUACUCUUCAUAUAUCUUCUCUAGUGAAUCAUUACUGUCACCUUCAGCACCUAGUACAUGAUCAUGGUCAUGAUCACGAUGAGACUGGCACUCGAAAUCUGAGCUGUUGAUAAGAUCAUGAUCGUCAUUAUAACAUAAAAACCCAGUUCGGUUUUCAUCAUCAUUGAUGUAUUCGGACCAUGGGACGAGGACUUGUCCAUUUUCACCUCCUUGGCUCGAAGACUUAGUGAUACACACUGAAGAUGUAAAUCUAAUGGGUUUUGGGAGAUGGAUUUUGGGUUUUUCUUGCUCGGUUGGUUUUGUAGAUUUGUUCUUCCUUUUCUUCUUCGGGACAAGGACGACAACCGGGUUAUCCGGUGGUAGUUUUUUGUGGGUGUUCGGAUCGGUUCCUUGGCUUAAUAAACGUUUGCUUAGAUGGGUGUUCCAAUAGUUUUUAAUCUCGUUAUCGGUUCGACCCGGAAGCCUUCCGGCGAUGAGAGACCAACGGUUGCCGAGGAGUGAAUGUAAUCGGAUGAUGAGGUCUUCCUCGUCGGGUGUUAUGUUCCCUCUUUUGAUAUCCGGUCUCAAAUAGUUCAUCCAUCUCAG